UUUCCGUAGGUGAACCUGCGGAAGGAUCAUUGCUGAGUUUUGAAUGAAGUUGUUCUGGUCUUUCGGGGCAAGUGAACGCUUCUCUCAAUCCAUCUUACACCUGUGCACCUAUCGGGGAAGACUUGGAUCUAAGUUGGGUCACGACGGCGAUCUACAGUCUCCUCUUUAUACCAAAUAACAGUUUUAGAAAGUCUUUUUUGCUUGAUGCAAACUUAAAUAAAUACAACUUUCAGCAACGGAUCUCUUGGCUCUC
RNAcentral lists this unclassified non-coding RNA (253 nucleotides) under plant metagenome. RNAcentral describes it as "partial contains small subunit ribosomal RNA, internal transcribed spacer 1, and 5.8S ribosomal RNA". The record is from RNAcentral.